GUAACAAGGUCUCCGUUGGUGAACCAGCGGAGGGAUCAUUACCGAGUUUACAACUCCCAAACCCCUGUGAACAUACCUAUCGUUGCUUCGGCGGAUCCGCCCCGGUGCCUUCGGGCCCGGACUCAGGCGCCCGCCGGGGGACCCAAACUCUUGUAUUUCUUUAGUAUCUUCUGAGUAAACAAGCAAAUAAAUUAAAACUUUCAACAACGGAUCUCUUGGUUCUGGCAUCGAUGAAGAACGCAGCGAAAUGCGAUAAGUAAUGUGAAUUGCAGAAUUCCGUGAAUCAUCGAAUCUUUGAACGCACAUUGCGCCCGCCAGUAUUCUGGCGGGCAUGCCUGUUCGAGCGUCAUUUCAACCCUCAAGCCCCCGGGCUUGGUGUUGGGGCUCGGCCCGUCCCUAGCGGCGCGCCGUCCCCGAAAUCUAGUGGCGGUCACGCUGUACUCCUCUGCGUAGUAAUCUAACCUCGCAACGGGACAAAGCGCGGCCACGCCGUUAAACCCCCAACUUCUGAAGGUUGACCUCGGAUCAGGUAGGAAUACCCGCUGAACCUAAGCAUAUC
Molecule: unclassified non-coding RNA, 559 nt
Filed under: Fusicolla epistroma
Lineage: Eukaryota; Fungi; Ascomycota; Sordariomycetes; Hypocreales; Nectriaceae
Description: sequence contains 18S rRNA gene, ITS1, 5.8S rRNA gene, ITS2, 28S rRNA gene
Rfam family: 5.8S ribosomal RNA (bases 196-349)
Source: RNAcentral